RNAcentral lists this long non-coding RNA (1509 nucleotides) under Sus scrofa (pig). RNAcentral's name for it is "lncRNA (ENSSSCG00015033879.1)". The record is from RNAcentral. Lineage: Eukaryota; Metazoa; Chordata; Mammalia; Artiodactyla; Suidae.
GGCUUUGGGGAGUUCCCGUCAUGGUACAGUGGAAACGAAUCCCACUGGGAACCAUGAAGCCGUGGGUUCGAUCCCUGGCCUCCCUCAGUGGGUUGAGGAUCCGACAUUGCCGUGAGCUGUGGUGUGGGUGGCGGACACGGCUUGGAUCUGGUGUUGUUCUGCUGGCCUAGGCUACAGCCACAGCAAUGCCAGAUCAGAGCCAUGUCUGUGACCUACACCACAGCUCACAGCAACGCCAGAUCCUUGACGCACUGAGUGUGGCCAGGGAUCAAACCUGUUUCUAAUCGGAUCGAUUCCAUUGUGCCACAGUGGGAACUCCUCAUCACUAGUCUUAUAUCAGCUUGAUCAAAUCUGUGAUCAUAACUUCUUGUCUGCUUUCAAUGAGCAGCAUCUCUCCCUGGUUAGUCCCAUUCCCAUGCCCAUCCUAUUCCCCAGACUAGUUCCCUGGCCCACUCUUACCUGUGACCUGAGUUUUGCUUUACCUCUUGGAUAUUGAUAUUUAAACAAUUCUCAGUCCUAGUUGGGGAGAGGAAAGGAAGAAAAAGCCUGAUUGUGGAAUUAGCUUCCCAAGACCCAUCGUUGGAGAGCCAUCCUACUAGUUUUUUUUUUUCUUUCCCUCCGGGGCUAUUUUCAAGAUUCUAGCACUUCUAGCAUCGUUCCGGGCCAAGUGGCCAUGGGUCAUGGCACUUGCAACGUGACUGGAGUGUAUGCUAGAGGAUAAUAGGCUUUUAAUUGGUGCUCUUAAUAUAUUAAUAGAUGGGAGACAGGGGCAUGGACUAGGUGGCCUCUGAAAUGUUUUCCUUUCCAGAAUUUAAAGAUAUGACUGUUCUGCAGACUUGGAAAGCAAUACAUAGAAUGGCUAUAUUCAAACCACGCUGCCCAGUCUAUCAUAUUACACUUGCAUUUCUAUCUCUUUACUCUUGCUCUCGUUUCAUUUAUUUUCUUGUUUUUUACAUCUCCCCCAAAGCUCUUGUAUCAUGGAUACACGCUGCUCUCCCAUUAGAAUUCAAGGUUUCUUAAGGAUGGGGACCAUCUUUUAUCCAUUGAGGUAGCUCCAUGAUAAUAAUAAAAGCUGACAUUUAUCAAGCACUUACUUUGUGUCUGAGAUGGUGUUCUGCCCUUUACGUGUUUACGUCUUUGCAUGCUCACAGCUGCUCCAUGAGGGAGUACUAUUAUGACCCACAUUUUCUCAUUGAGGAGAAGGAUGUUGGGAGAUACUCGGAAACACGUGCAGGUUCGUGGGGCUGGAUGAGUGUCAGGGACGCUGAGUCAGUGUGCAGCACAGCCUUCCUGCAGCUGUCCCAGUGCCUGACACAGGAUGGUCUCAGUCAGGACAGGAAUUCUCAGCUGGAGAAGGAUCCAGCAUUAUCACUACUGUGGAUCAGGUCACUCCCGUGGCACAGGUUCUAUCUCCUGGCCCGGGACCUUCCAUAUGAUGCAGGUGCUGCAAAAAAAAAAAAAAAAAAAAAAAAAAAAAAAAAAAAAAAAAAAAAAAAAAAAAAAAAAAAA